AUUGAACGCUGGCGGCAGGCCUAACACAUGCAAGUCGAACGGCAGCACGGGAGCAAUCCUGGUGGCGAGUGGCGAACGGGUGAGUAAUAUAUCGGAACGUGCCCAGUCGUGGGGGAUAACGUAGCGAAAGCUACGCUAAUACCGCAUACGAUCUAUGGAUGAAAGCGGGGGAUCGCAAGACCUCGCGCGAUUGGAGCGGCCGAUAUCAGAUUAGGUAGUUGGUGAGGUAAAGGGCUCACCAAGCCGACGAUCUGUAGCUGGUCUGAGAGGACGACCAGCCACACUGGGACUGAGACACGGCCCAGACUCCUACGGGAGGCAGCAGUGGGGAAUUUUGGGACAAUGGGCGCAAGCCUGAUCCAGCAAUGCCGCGUGCAGGA
RNAcentral lists this ribosomal RNA (380 nucleotides) under uncultured bacterium. RNAcentral describes it as "bacterial SSU rRNA". It matches the Rfam family "Bacterial small subunit ribosomal RNA", at positions 29 to 408 of the family's 1533-position model. The record is from RNAcentral.